GGAAUAUUGCACAAUGGGCGAAAGCCUGAUGCAGCGACGCCGCGUGAGGGAUGACGGCCUUCGGGUUGUAAACCUCUUUCAGUAGGGAAGAAGCGAAAGUGACGGUACCUGCAGAAGAAGCGCCGGCUAACUACGUGCCAGCAGCCGCGGUAAUACGUAGGGCGCAAGCGUUAUCCGGAAUUAUUGGGCGUAAAGAGCUCGUAGGCGGUUUGUCGCGUCUGCCGUGAAAGUCCGAGGCUCAACUUCGGAUCUGCGGUGGGUACGGGCAGACUAGAGUGAUGUAGGGGAGACUGGAAUUCCUGGUGUAGCGGUGAAAUGCGCAGAUAUCAGGAGGAACACCGAUGGCGAAGGCAGGUCUCUGGGCAUCUACUGACGCUGAGGAGCGAAAGCAUGGGGAGCGAACAGGAUUAGAUACCCUGG
This 420-nucleotide ribosomal RNA is filed under the name uncultured Paeniglutamicibacter sp. RNAcentral describes it as "bacterial SSU rRNA". It matches the Rfam family "Bacterial small subunit ribosomal RNA", at positions 358 to 790 of the family's 1533-position model. Lineage: Bacteria; Bacillati; Actinomycetota; Actinomycetes; Micrococcales; Micrococcaceae. The record is from RNAcentral.